This 400-nucleotide ribosomal RNA is filed under the name uncultured bacterium. Its description in RNAcentral is "bacterial SSU rRNA". It matches the Rfam family "Bacterial small subunit ribosomal RNA", at positions 359 to 776 of the family's 1533-position model. The record is from RNAcentral.
GAAUCUUAGACAAUGGGGGAAACCCUGAUCUAGCCAUGCCGCGUGAGUGACGAAGGCCCUAGGGUCGUAAAGCUCUUUCGCCGGGGAAGAUAAUGACGGUACCCGGUAAAGAAGUCCCGGCUAACUCCGUGCCAGCAGCCGCGGUAAUACGGAGGGGACUAGCGUUGUUCGGAAUUACUGGGCGUAAAGCGCACGUAGGCGGAUUAGUCAGUCAGAGGUGAAAUCCCAGGGCUCAACCCUGGAACUGCCUUUCAUACUGGCGAUCUUGAGUUCGAGAGAGGUGAGUGGAAUUCCGAGUGUAGAGGUGAAAUUCGUAGAUAUUCGGAGGAACACCAGUGGCGAAGGCGGCUCACUGGCUCGAUACUGACGCUGAGGUGCGAAAGCGUGGGGAGCAAACAGG